Molecule: long non-coding RNA, 597 nt
Organism: Prosopis cineraria
Lineage: Eukaryota; Viridiplantae; Streptophyta; Magnoliopsida; Fabales; Fabaceae
Exons: 3
Source: RefSeq, a predicted model, not a curated record
AAAUUCGAAGCCUCACUUACCACUCAUCUUGAACUAGAUAUGCCUAUUGGUCUCUCUGGCGUGAUUAUCUGUUAAAUAACUUGUUCUAGCUUGAAAUGGAUUUUGUGAUGUGCUAUAUGUAUCCUAUGGUCUUCUAGAUUAAUAAGCGGGGCCUCCACUGGAUAGUCGGCAAGGAGGAAUGAGAAGCACUAUGCACUUAUUUUGUUGGCUAAUACAAGACAAGGCUGUCAUAAAAGGCACACAUAUGAAGAGUUCCUGUCUCUGGAUUCAAAGAGUAAUAUAGCGUUCGAUGAUGCAGUGAGGAUUUUUGACUCGACACGGGCCAUAUAUAGAUAGUGGUUGUAAUACGUGAUUUGUUGUGAGAUUGUUAGUUGCCACGUGUCCAACCUCUCUGGGCAAUGGAUAAGGAGAUGAAAUGCUCACAUCAUGGACCAGGACGCCAUUGCAAUUGUCAAACUUGAGAAUGGACCAGAGAAGGAAAUGGGUCCCACAAGGAAGACGUAAUCUGCUGGGAUGAGCAUGGUUGAUGCCUGUGCCUUACAUGCAGCCGCCCAUGCAGUUUGAAAUGCCUGCAUUGCAUCGAAGCUAAUAUUAUAC